Molecule: ribosomal RNA, 233 nt
Filed under: uncultured bacterium
Lineage: Bacteria
Description: partial 16S ribosomal RNA
Rfam family: Bacterial small subunit ribosomal RNA
Source: RNAcentral
AGUACAGUGGCGUACGGGUGAGUAACACGUGGAUGAUCUGCCUUUUAGUGGGGAAUACCUCUGGGAAACCGGAGACAAUACCGCGUAAGCUCGGAAGAGGAAACCUGGAAACGGGGCUGAAAGAGGAGUCCGCGGCCGAUUAGCUAGUUGGUGAGGUAACGGCUCACCAAGGCGACGACGGGUAGCUGGUCUGAGAGGAUGGCCAGCCACAUUGGGACUGAGAUACGGCCCAG